Hordeum vulgare subsp. vulgare (domesticated barley) is the source of this 136-nucleotide non-coding RNA. The record is from Rfam. Lineage: Eukaryota; Viridiplantae; Streptophyta; Magnoliopsida; Poales; Poaceae.
CAAGUACUUCCUCUGUCCUAAAUUUUUUGUUUUAGAUUUGUCUAGAUAUGAAUGUAUGUAGUCACAUUUUAGUAUCAAGAUACAUCUAUUUUAAAAUAAAUUUAAGACAAGAAUUUUGGGACGGAGGGAGUAGCAU